CACGUAGUUAGCCGGUGCUUAUUCUUACGGUACCGUCAUGGACCCCAGGUAUUAACCAGAGUCUUUUCGUUCCGUACAAAAGCAGUUUACAACCCGAAGGCCUUCAUCCUGCACGCGGCAUGGCUGGAUCAGGCUUUCGCCCAUUGUCCAAAAUUCCCCACUGCUGCCUCCCGUAGGAGUCUGGGCCGUGUCUCAGUCCCAGUGUGGCUGGUCGUCCUCUCAGACCAGCUACAGAUCGUCGGCUUGGUAAGCUUUUAUCCCACCAACUACCUAAUCUGCCAUCGGCCGCUCCGUUCGCGCAAGGCCUUGCGGUCCCCUGCUUUCAUCCGUAGAUCGUAUGCGGUAUUAGCAAAGCUUUCGCUUCGUUAUCCCCCACGAUCGGGCACGUUCCGAUGUAUUACUCACCCGUUCGCCACUCGUCAGCAUCCGAAGACCUGUUACCGUUCGACUUGCAUGUGUAAGGCAUGCCGCCAGCGUUCAAUCUGAGCCAGGAUCAAACUCU
RNAcentral lists this ribosomal RNA (502 nucleotides) under uncultured Acidovorax sp. RNAcentral's name for it is "partial 16S ribosomal RNA". Lineage: Bacteria; Pseudomonadati; Pseudomonadota; Betaproteobacteria; Burkholderiales; Comamonadaceae. The record is from RNAcentral.